GAUGAAGAACGUAGUGAAAUGCGAUACGUAAUGUGAAUUGCAGAAUUCAGUGAAUCAUCGAGUCUUUGAACGCACAUUGCGCCCCCUGGUAUUCCGGGGGGCAUGCCUGUCCGAGCGUCAUUGCUGCCCUCAAGCACGGUUUGUGUGUUGGGCCUCCGUCCUCCUCCCGGGGGACGGGCCCGAAAGGCAGCGGCGGCACCGCGUCCGGUCCUCGAGCGUAUGGGGCUUCGUCACCCGCUCUUGUAGGCCCGGCCGGCGCUUGCCGACACAUCAAUCUUUUUUCCAGGUUGACCUCGGAUCAGGUAGGGAUACCCGCUGAACUUAAGCAUAUCAAUAAGCGGAGGA
RNAcentral lists this unclassified non-coding RNA (345 nucleotides) under soil metagenome. Its description in RNAcentral is "partial contains 5.8S ribosomal RNA, internal transcribed spacer 2, and large subunit ribosomal RNA". The stretch from base 1 to 120 matches the Rfam family "5.8S ribosomal RNA", at positions 35 to 154 of the family's 154-position model. The record is from RNAcentral.